GCCAUGCUUAGCUCCUGACUGUUACCUUAACGGGAUUCAAAGAUGUUCUCUGAAACAGGAAAACGCGUAGGUUUAUCUUAGCAAUGAAAUGGUGUUGGCAAAACGAUUAUAAAUACGCAGGAAUCAUACGAGCGCCGUGAGCCGAGAAGGAAUCUUUGGGCGUUGCCAGUUUGAUAGAGUAACAAAAAAAGAGUGUGAGAAUUUUGAGAAUGGGCACAGCUUGCCAUUUGGCUAGGUCCCCG
Molecule: non-coding RNA, 242 nt
Organism: Pelobates cultripes (western spadefoot toad)
Lineage: Eukaryota; Metazoa; Chordata; Amphibia; Anura; Pelobatidae
Source: the annotation of a GenBank genome assembly